UGUAAGAGAGAAGUUCCCGGUAUCGACAGGGUGGGCAGCGUAGAGAGACGUGCCGACCUCGGGGGUUCUCGGGAAGACUUACGAAGGAUUUUUUGAGAAGGAAUCUUUAGCGAGCCAGGGACUGUAUUCUCAAGGGUUCCGGCGUCUUUUCUUCAAUACCUUUAACGGCUUUCAUGAAGCUCUCAAGACUCCUGCGACGCCGCCUGCCGUAGUAGUCACCGCCACACCAGCCGCAAGAUCCCCCGCAGCCGCCGCAGCCACAGUCCACGCAUCCGCCGCCAGAGUGAUGGUGGUGGUGAUGGUUGUGUCUCCCGGCCAGGUACCCCUAACAAGAUGCUGGGAUCACUACUCCUGGCCAAAGCCCUCUGUCUCUUCAAUGGCAAAAGUGAGCUUUUCCACCAACUGCUCAUAAGACUUGUAUGGAGGCAAGUCUAGACGGUUGAAGCAUGUAUGAGAACGAGGUAGCCAAGUCUCUUUCCCAACCUUCUCAAUGCAGAAUUUCUGUGGUCCAUUGCUUCCUGCAAGGUGAAAGGAUAUCUCUUCCUGCUACAAUAACUGACGUAGAGAAGAGAAGCAGAGACAGGAGGUGGAAAUAAAAAAAAGUUAAUACAUGAAACAAAUAGAAGGCAAGUAAUUUUGAUGGAGACAUUCUCUCAAUAAAGGAA
Long non-coding RNA from Scylla paramamosain (green mud crab), 665 nucleotides. RefSeq lists it as uncharacterized. Lineage: Eukaryota; Metazoa; Arthropoda; Malacostraca; Decapoda; Portunidae. The record is from RefSeq and is a predicted model, not a curated record. The transcript is spliced from 4 exons.